This 783-nucleotide long non-coding RNA is filed under the name Pongo abelii (Sumatran orangutan). RNAcentral's name for it is "lincRNA". Lineage: Eukaryota; Metazoa; Chordata; Mammalia; Primates; Hominidae. The record is from RNAcentral.
AUACCCGUCCAGUGUACAGAAUAUCACAGGCUUUACUUUUGUGCCAAUUUAAAAUGAGGAUACAGAAAAUGAAGGCAAAGGGAAACUGUUGACAAUCCUUUGAAGUCAUAAAUAUACAAGAGCAUGAAUAAGAGAAGAAAAGAUGGAAGAUAAAAAGCAGAAGGGUGCUGGAGAUAUAAUGGUGAAUAAUGUUGCAAUAUGCUCAGUCUUCAUGGAAUCAACAGUCCAGUAGGGAAGGCAGAUAAGUGAGAAUAUUCCUUCUACUUACAGAAAAAGUCAACUGUAAAACAGCCUCAGGCAGGUCUUUCAGGAGAUAUUCCAGAAGGCAUUGUUAUCAUACAAGAUGAUAGCUCCAUGAGUAUUAUUUUCCCUGAAGACCAGUGAGACAAGAUGAGGAGAUUGAAGACAGUGAUAUGGAUGAUCCUGAACCUGAGACUGUAUAGGCCUAGGCUAAUGCAUGUGUUUGUGUCUUAGUUUUUAACUAAAAGCUUAAAAAGAAAGAAAAAUAAAAAUUAAACAUUUGAAAAUACAAAAAUCAUAUAGAAUUAAGGACAUAAGAAUAUUUUCGAACAGCUGUACAAUGUGUGUGUGUUUUAAGCUAAAUGUUAUUGCAAAAGAGCCAAAAGUUUUUUUUUAAAAAGUUUAUAAAAACUUUCAGUAAGCUAAGAUUAAUUUAUUAAUGAAGAAAUAAUCUUUGUAUAUAAAUUUAGUGUAGCCUAAGUGUACAGUGUUUAUAAAUCUACAGUAAUGUCCCAGACCUUCACAUUCACUCAUCACUCACUC